RNAcentral lists this ribosomal RNA (363 nucleotides) under Trichormus doliolum GSPKAK4. RNAcentral's name for it is "bacterial SSU rRNA". It matches the Rfam family "Bacterial small subunit ribosomal RNA", at positions 1030 to 1393 of the family's 1533-position model. The record is from RNAcentral. Lineage: Bacteria; Bacillati; Cyanobacteriota; Cyanophyceae; Nostocales; Nostocaceae.
AGAGACAGGUGCUGCAUGGCGGUCGUCAGCUCGUGUUGUGAAAUGUUGGGUUAAGUCCCGCAACGAGCGCAACCCUUAUCCUUUGUUGCAAGCGGUCCGGCCGGGAACUCAAAGGAGACUGCCAGUGAUAAACUGGAGGAAGGUGGGGAUGACGUCAAGUCAUCAUGGCCCUUACGAGUAGGGCUACACACGUGCUACAAUGGCAUAUACAAAGAGAAGCGACCUCGCGAGAGCAAGCGGACCUCAUAAAGUAUGUCGUAGUCCGGAUUGGAGUCUGCAACUCGACUCCAUGAAGUCGGAAUCGCUAGUAAUCGUGGAUCAGAAUGCCACGGUGAAUACGUUCCCGGGCCUUGUACACACCGC